AUGAACUUUCUUCCUUAACGACACGACUGUCGAACCUAUUUAAUUGGGGGUUGACGUCGCGAGACAACUUACUCUCGAAGCGCAGAACGUCUUCUGUCCCGAUACAACAUGCGUCGAGGUGCCUUAUUAUUGCUGUUGUUCCUGGCUACGGUAUCCAUAAGUGUGUCCAGGAGAUCUGCGAGGUGGCCUGGAACUCGACUCAGUUUUGGUGGCCUCAGAAAUACAGUCGGUGGUGCAUUGCGACGACAGAGUAUGAGCGUACGUCAAUGCUUCGAUAUAGCCAAAAGGAGAUGCAGGCCAAUGGUGAGAGACUUGGAACGAGCGGCCGAUCAGUAUCUUGCCGGUAGCGUUUGCAUAAGGACAGUGUGCUGCAAAAUCCCAAAUCUGCUCUCCUGCGUGACAAGAAGUUGUAGCUCAGGGAUUGGACUGGCCGCCAGCGUCGCCAGAUAUGCAAUCGAUGCCCAGAUGCACGACAAGUGUAUGCUUCAAUAUGGAUAUCCUGGUAGCGAAGGGACUGCGUUCCGCUGCUAGCGGCGGACGGCCAUUGGCUGCAUUAAUGAUGCUCUUCUGUGUCUUUUUAUUCAAUUAAAAGAGCUAAAC
Molecule: long non-coding RNA, 600 nt
Organism: Ornithodoros turicata
Lineage: Eukaryota; Metazoa; Arthropoda; Arachnida; Ixodida; Argasidae
Exons: 3
Source: RefSeq, a predicted model, not a curated record